Molecule: long non-coding RNA, 363 nt
Organism: Schistocerca piceifrons (Central American locust)
Lineage: Eukaryota; Metazoa; Arthropoda; Insecta; Orthoptera; Acrididae
Exons: 3
Source: RefSeq, a predicted model, not a curated record
CAUUGCUCACAUCGAAAUAAUUGUGACGCAUUGGCAUUAUUUCACCUAAACCAACGUAACUAUGACUGUGUAGCUAAUAUCUAAACCCCAGAAAGCACCAAGCUGGUAUUCUGAAGGGGGUGUGGAAUCUGAGAAACAACCAGUAUUCAAGAAUAUUGCUAUCAAAAAGAUGUUUUUGGGAGUUAAUUUGACAAACUUAACCAUGAUAACCUCAUGAUACUUAUUCAAGAAACUGGACUAAGCAAUAAAUGCUUGUGUGUGAAAAAAUAAACGUGUUUGGGGUCCAGUGAACAACAUGAGCCAUAGGACACUAAUGACAGCAGCAGAGAAGCUUGCCGCUGUUCCUGAUGUGGAUAUCGACCC